RNAcentral lists this ribosomal RNA (427 nucleotides) under uncultured bacterium. RNAcentral's name for it is "partial 16S ribosomal RNA". It matches the Rfam family "Bacterial small subunit ribosomal RNA", at positions 355 to 774 of the family's 1533-position model. The record is from RNAcentral.
UGGGGAAUAUUGCACAAUGGGCGCAAGCCUGAUGCAGCCAUGCCGCGUGUAUGAAGAAGGCCUUCGGGUUGUAAAGUACUUUCAGCGGGGAGGAAGGCGAUAAGGUUAAUAACCUUGUCGAUUGACGUUACCCGCAGAAGAAGCACCGGCUAACUCCGUGCCAGCAGCCGCGGUAAUACCGAGGGUGCAAGCGUUAAUCGGAAUUACUGGGCGUAAAGCGCACGCAGGCGGUCUGUCAAGUCGGAUGUGAAAUCCCCGGGCUCAACCUGGGAACUGCAUUCGAAACUGGCAGGCUAGAGUCUUGUAGAGGGGGGUAGAAUUCCAGGUGUAGCGGUGAAAUGCGUAGAGAUCUGGAGGAAUACCGGUGGCGAAGGCGGCCCCCUGGACAAAGACUGACGCUCAGGUGCGAAAGCGUGGGGAGCAAACA